RNAcentral lists this transfer RNA (63 nucleotides) under Cavia porcellus (domestic guinea pig). It matches the Rfam family "tRNA", at positions 1 to 61 of the family's 71-position model. From Rfam's summary of the family: Transfer RNA (tRNA) molecules are approximately 80 nucleotides in length. Their secondary structure includes four short double-helical elements and three loops (D, anti-codon, and T loops). Lineage: Eukaryota; Metazoa; Chordata; Mammalia; Rodentia; Caviidae. The record is from Rfam by way of RNAcentral.
GGGGAUGUAGCUCAGCGGCAUGAGCGCCUGCCUUAUAAGCAUGAGGUCGUGAGUUCAAUCCCU